This 318-nucleotide ribosomal RNA is filed under the name uncultured soil bacterium. RNAcentral's name for it is "bacterial SSU rRNA". It matches the Rfam family "Bacterial small subunit ribosomal RNA", at positions 26 to 372 of the family's 1533-position model. The record is from RNAcentral.
AGAACGAACGCUGGCGGCAUGCCUAAUACAUGCAAGUCGAACGAACUCUUCGGAGUUAGUGGCGCACGGGUGCGUAACGCGUGGGAAUCUGCCCCUUGGUUCGGAAUAACAGUUGGAAACGACUGCUAAUACCGGAUGAUGACGAAAGUCCAAAGAUUUAUCGCCAAGGGAUGAGCCCGCGUAGGAUUAGCUAGUUGGUGAGGUAAAGGCUCACCAAGGCAACGAUCCUUAGCUGGUCUGAGAGGAUGAUCAGCCACACUGGGACUGAGACACGGCCCAGACUCCUACGGGAGGCAGCAGUAGGGAAUAUUGGACAAU